RNAcentral lists this ribosomal RNA (305 nucleotides) under uncultured bacterium. Its description in RNAcentral is "bacterial SSU rRNA". It matches the Rfam family "Bacterial small subunit ribosomal RNA", at positions 331 to 631 of the family's 1533-position model. The record is from RNAcentral.
UCGGCCUACGGGAGGCAGCAGUAGGGAAUUUUCGUCAAUGGGCGCAAGCCUGAACGAGCAAUGCCGCGUGAACGAGGAAGGUCUUCGGAUCGUAAAGUUCUGUUGAAGGGGAAAAAGAGCGGAGAGAGGAAAUGGUCUCCGAUUGAUAUUACCCUUCGAGGAAGUCACGGCUAACUACGUGCCAGCAGCCGCGGUAAUACGUAGGUGGCGAGCGUUAUCCGGAUUUACUGGGUGUAAAGGGAGCGUAGGCGGCCUGGCAAGCCUGAUGUGAAAUACCGGGGCCCAACCCCGUGGCUGCAUUGGGA